Long non-coding RNA from Erpetoichthys calabaricus (reedfish), 1116 nucleotides. RefSeq lists it as uncharacterized. NCBI's taxonomy places the organism in Eukaryota, Metazoa, Chordata, Cladistia, Polypteriformes, Polypteridae. The transcript is spliced from 2 exons. The record is from RefSeq and is a predicted model, not a curated record.
UUAGUUGCUUCCCCAAUUGCAGUAAGGUAAAAUGUUUUGUAUAUUUUUGAAAAUGUCACCGUCUGUUUAUACAAUUCCUAGAUUUCAGUUGGAUGAGGCAAAGAUUGCUCGAAACCCCAUUUCUGGUUGGAUGUAAUAUAGUGCAAAACUGCAACAUUUUGGUUUUGUUUUAAAAUAGAGGGCUUUUUACAAUGACAUUUAAAAUUAAAAGUAAAUUUAUUAUAGCAGAGGUAUAACCAAGUGCAACCUUUUAUUUUGCAGUCCCAGUACAGUCUAACAAGAGCACAGCAGUCUUACAAAUCACUUGUGCAAAUUCAUGAGAAGAAUGGUUGGUACACUCCACCUAAAGAGGAUGGCUAGACCUUCAUCUGCCGUCUGCUUAUGUGCCACAAGGACCAACUUUGAUCUCAUCCCAUCUCUGAAGCCAGAUUGCCACUCCACUGAACUAACACUCUUCUGUCUGUCACUGUUCCUGAGCUUGAGAAAUUCUCAGUGCAAUCACUGACAGAGCGGCUGUGUAAUUCCGUAUAUGCUUUCACAGACGGGUUUUAAAAAAAAAAAAAAAAAAAGAGCGAGAAAAGAAAAAAGGACAGAGGCUAUACCCUUUUCUGGUUGGACCCUCACUUAUGGCAGGCUUACUUUUAUUUGUAAGACUGGUUUAUUUGAAACUACCACCAAACAAUGACUUCUCUGGGAACCCAAGACUUUCUUUCAGGCAUCCAGCAUCUUUACUUCUAUGCUAUUGAUUCUUAAUUUAUUUUUCUUUCUUGUGCACUUUCUCCUUUUUGUUAAUGUAUGAUGGUUGUGUACAAAAAGAAAGUGUAAGACAAUUACAUUUAUUAUUGACAGGAAUGCUGCCUGUCCCUUCUGUUUUUGGGAGGGGGGGUGGGGUGGGAGAAAUAAUGUCCUGCUUGUCUCUUCCGGUUUCCUUUUUUUAUGUCGCAUUGAAUGCCCCUAGAAAUUGCAGUUCUCAUUGUAUAUAACAGGCUGGCAACAAAACAUGCAACUGCAUUUUCUUCUUUUUUUUUCUGUUUUUUUUUUUUUUUUUUUUUCCCAUUUUCUGAUUUUAGAAAUUUUGGAUUGUUUGUGCGUCUGAUAAAAACUCGGAUUAUACAC